Symphalangus syndactylus (siamang) is the source of this 750-nucleotide long non-coding RNA. RefSeq lists it as uncharacterized. The record is from RefSeq and is a predicted model, not a curated record. NCBI's taxonomy places the organism in Eukaryota, Metazoa, Chordata, Mammalia, Primates, Hylobatidae.
GGUAUAAUAAUGUACAUGAAGUGGGAGAAUAGAUGCUUUAAAUGCAUUUUAUUGUUUUUCACAUUCUCUUUUCUGCCUGGGAUGUUUUAUUACUUUUAUUUUCUGGCAAACUUCUAUUUCUCCAAAAUAAAGCCAUGUAUAGGAUGGCCACAAGGGAACCCACCGUCUUGAAGGAAAGGACCCAGUCCUGAGAGCAUUCAUCACCUGCUAUCUAAAGAGCCAUUGGGCCCUGAAUAUCAGCAUUGAUACCCAGGUGCUAUAUCAAGGGCCUGGGGUGAGCCUCUGAGACUUGCUGGCUUCAGGUAACAGCAAGACCACAGUGGGGCAGAGAAUCCAGCAGGGUCUUCGGGUGCUCAACUCUAGGACUUGAUUUUUGGAUGGCAUUUCUGUACCUGCCCUGGGACAGAGGGGAGCCCACUGCCCUAAAAGGUGAAAAGAAGAUGGAGAAUGUCACUUGCACAUCCAGGAGAUCUGUGUUAAAGUAGAGGACCCCCGAAAUUAUGAAAAUGGGAUAUUAUAUAGGAGCUGUCACGUUCGUUCCUCCUCUUCUCCAGAAAGAGAGAGAGAGCACAAGAGUACGCCUUUUUGGCAGGUGCAGGAAAAGAUCUCUACUCUCAAGUAUAAGCAUUAGGCUCUAGGGGAGACAAGAAAGAUUUUGUUACCCUGUUACCCUUUGAGUGGGAGCAGAUGGCUUCGCAAUGAAGCAGAUAAGUGGUUAGGAGCAAAUGGAGUAAAGUGGUGUAAAGAGCA